CCUGGGGCUGAAGCAGGUCCCAAGGGUUGGGCUGUUCGCCCAUUAAAGCGGUACGUGAGCUGGGUUUAGAACGUCGCGAGACAGUUCGGUCCCUAUCUACCAUGGGCGCAGGAGAUUUGAGGGGGGCUGUCCCUAGUACGAGAGGACCGGGAUGGACGAACCUCUAGUGUACCAGUUGUCGCGCCAGCGGCAGUGCUGGGUAGCUACGUUCGGAUGGGAGAAACGCUGAAAGCAUCUAAGCGUGAAACCCUCCCCAAGAUGAGAUCUCCCUGGAUCUUCGGAUCCCUGAAGGCUCCUGGAAGACUACCAGGUAUAUAGGCCAGAUGUGUAAGGCUUGCGAGAGCUUGAGCUUACUGGUACUAAUCAGCCGUGAGGCUUGACCUU
RNAcentral lists this ribosomal RNA (384 nucleotides) under Acidobacteriota bacterium. RNAcentral's name for it is "Acidobacteria bacterium partial 23S ribosomal RNA". It matches the Rfam family "Bacterial large subunit ribosomal RNA", at positions 2546 to 2925 of the family's 2925-position model. The record is from RNAcentral. Lineage: Bacteria; Pseudomonadati; Acidobacteriota.